Molecule: ribosomal RNA, 253 nt
Filed under: uncultured bacterium
Lineage: Bacteria
Description: partial 16S ribosomal RNA
Rfam family: Bacterial small subunit ribosomal RNA
Source: RNAcentral
UACGAAGGGGGCUAGCGUUGCUCGGAAUGACUGGGCGUAAAGGGCGCGUAGGCGGCUUGCCCAGUCAGGCGUGAAAUUCCUGGGCUCAACCUGGGGACUGCGCUUGAGACGUGUGGGCUUGAGUGGGGAAGAGGGUCGUGGAAUUCCCAGUGUAGAGGUGAAAUUCGUAGAUAUCGGGAGGAACACCAGUGGCGAAGGCGGCGACCUGGGCCAAUACUGACGCUGAGGUGCGAAAGCGUGGGGAGCAAACAGG